CUACUGUUUUCUUUUGCUCUCACUCUGCCGUCGCCGCUCUGACGUAUAUAGAGCCGUAGGCCCUACGUGUCCCUGCGGACCAUCCACCGUUUAUAAGAAUGUUUCAGCUGUUGGCCGCCGCCUUCCUGCUGGCGCUAGCAUCCGCCGCCGAAGGUGACGUCGACACGUCGAUCAACGCGACCCCUGACGGCGUUACCGAAUAUUUUUUCAUUCCAUUUUUACCAAUCCUACGCCCUGGACUAAGGCCUAGACCACCCAGACCUAGACCACCCAAACAUAAUGCAGCCACGGUUAAACCACCCACGUAUGGACCAACGCCAUCUCCAAACGACUACAACCCCUGCACUCCUAACCCGUGCUACAACAACAGAUAUUGCUUCCCGUUCGGUCACAGAUACUACUGAAUCUGUCCCAAACAAUACAAGGGAUGGAAAUGUGACGAACACGAAACGCAGUGCGCCUCGAACCCGUGUUUGAACGGAGGCACCUGUGUGAAGAGUUACUACAGAGAAUACUGCAGCUGGCCCUUACGGAUAUAACCGGCGAAUUCUGUGAGAGUCAGACUUUGCAUGAUCUCUGUCAUCCGUCACCAUGCGACCACGGAGGCACGUGCACGGAGAACGACGCGGACCCACACGUCGAUGAACGCAGACGGCCGCUCUUCAAACCCCGCCCGCACCGCUCUUCAAACCCCGCCCGCGCCGCUCUUCAAACCCCGCCCGCGCCGCAAACGUCUCUAGAAGGGCAAUCACGUGACUUUUAGCUUGCAACCAAUAAUAUUUCAGACCUUGUAUUUCCCUCGUAAUGUAACCGGAAUAAACUUCUACAAUAAUUACUAUAGCAUGACGUACCUAGUAGUAACACGUGUAGUGCAGCACUGUGUAUUGAAGCUUGUUAA
Long non-coding RNA from Priapulus caudatus, 898 nucleotides. RefSeq lists it as uncharacterized. NCBI's taxonomy places the organism in Eukaryota, Metazoa, Priapulida, Priapulimorpha, Priapulimorphida, Priapulidae. The record is from RefSeq and is a predicted model, not a curated record. The transcript has 5 exons.